RNAcentral lists this ribosomal RNA (697 nucleotides) under uncultured Chroococcales cyanobacterium. Its description in RNAcentral is "bacterial SSU rRNA". It matches the Rfam family "Bacterial small subunit ribosomal RNA", at positions 94 to 825 of the family's 1533-position model. Lineage: Bacteria; Bacillati; Cyanobacteriota; Cyanophyceae; Chroococcales. The record is from RNAcentral.
AGUGGCGGACGGGUGAGUAACGCGUGAGAAUCUGCCCUUAGGACGGGGACAACAGCUGGAAACGGCUGCUAAUACCCGAUGUGCCGAGAGGUGAAACAUUUAUGGCCUGAGGAUGAGCUCGCGUCUGAUUAGCUAGUUGGUGGGGUAAGAGCCUACCAAGGCAACGAUCAGUAGCUGGUCUGAGAGGAUGAUCAGCCACACUGGGACUGAGACACGGCCCAGACUCCUACGGGAGGCAGCAGUGGGGAAUUUUCCGCAAUGGGCGCAAGCCUGACGGAGCAAGACCGCGUGCGGGAGGACGGCCUAUUGGUUGUAAACCGCUUUUGAUAGGGAAGAAGUUCUGACGGUACCUAUCGAAUCAGCAUCGGCUAACUCCGUGCCAGCAGCCGCGGUAAUACGGAGGAUGCAAGCGUUAUCCGGAAUUAUUGGGCGUAAAGCGUCCGUAGGUGGUUGUUCAAGUCUGCUGUUAAAGCGCGCGGCUUAACCGCAUAUCAGCAGUAGAAACUGGACGACUAGAGUGCGGUAGGGGUCAGGGGAAUUCCCAGUGUAGCGGUGAAAUGCGUAGAUAUUGGGAAGAACACCGGUGGCGAAAGCGCCUGACUGGACCUGCACUGACACUGAGGGACGAAAGCUAGGGGAGCGAAAGGGAUUAGAUACCCCUGUAGUCCUAGCCGUAAACGAUGGACACUAGGUGUUG